RNAcentral lists this ribosomal RNA (396 nucleotides) under uncultured bacterium. Its description in RNAcentral is "bacterial SSU rRNA". It matches the Rfam family "Bacterial small subunit ribosomal RNA", at positions 361 to 774 of the family's 1533-position model. The record is from RNAcentral.
AUAUUGGACAAUGGGGGCAACCCUGAUCCAGCCAUGCCGCGUGAGUGAUGAAGGCCUUCGGGUUGUAAAGCUCUUUUGGCGGGGACGAUGAUGACGGUACCCGCAGAAUAAGCCCCGGCUAACUUCGUGCCAGCAGCCGCGGUAAGACGAAGGGGGCAAGCGUUGUUCGGAAUUACUGGGCGUAAAGGGCGCGUAGGCGGUUUGCUUAGUCAGGCGUGAAAGCCCUGGGCUUAACCUGGGAUGUGCGCUUGAUACUGGCAGGCUUGAGUGUGGGAGAGGUUGGUGGAAUUCCCAGUGUAGAGGUGAAAUUCGUAGAUAUUGGGAAGAACACCGGUGGCGAAGGCGGCCAACUGGACCACAACUGACGCUGAGGCGCGAAAGCGUGGGGAGCAAACA